AAAAAACUAGUUAAUUUCAUAACAUAAGAAUGUCAUUCUUAAAUUACUAAAAAGUGUUUUUUA
Molecule: transfer RNA, 63 nt
Filed under: Argas ricei
Lineage: Eukaryota; Metazoa; Arthropoda; Arachnida; Ixodida; Argasidae
Description: tRNA-Asp
Source: RNAcentral